This 436-nucleotide ribosomal RNA is filed under the name uncultured bacterium. RNAcentral's name for it is "partial 16S ribosomal RNA". It matches the Rfam family "Bacterial small subunit ribosomal RNA", at positions 29 to 507 of the family's 1533-position model. The record is from RNAcentral.
AACGAACGCUGGCGGCAUGCCUAACACAUGCAAGUCGAACGAGAUCCUUCGGGGUCUAGUGGCGCACGGGUGCGUAACGCGUGGGAAUCUGCCCUUAGGUUCGGAAUAACAGUUAGAAAUGACUGCUAAUACCGGAUGAUGACGUUAAGUCCAAAGAUUUAUCGCCUGAGGAUGAGCCCGCGUAGGAUUAGCUAGUUGGUGUGGUAAAGGCGCACCAAGGCGACGAUCCUUAGCUGGUCUGAGAGGAUGAUCAGCCACACUGGGACUGAGACACGGCCCAGACUCCUACGGGAGGCAGCAGUGGGGAAUAUUGGACAGUGGGCGCAGGCCUGAUGCAGCAAUGCCGCGUGAGUGAUGAAGGCCUUGGAGUUGAAAAGCUCUUUUAACCGGGAUGAUAAUGACGGUACCGGGAGAAUAAGCCCCGGCUAACUCCGUG